Molecule: unclassified non-coding RNA, 348 nt
Filed under: soil metagenome
Description: partial contains 5.8S ribosomal RNA, internal transcribed spacer 2, and large subunit ribosomal RNA
Rfam family: 5.8S ribosomal RNA (bases 1-120)
Source: RNAcentral
GAUGAAGAACGCAGCAAAAUGCGAUAAGUAAUGUGAAUUGCAGAAUUCAGUGAAUCAUCGAAUCUUUGAACGCACAUUGCGCCCGCUGGUAUUCCGGCGGGCAUGCCUGUUCGAGCGUCAUUUCAACCCUCAAGCCCCCGGGUUUGGUGUUGGGGAUCGGCUCUGCCCUUCUGGGCGGUGCCGCCCCCGAAAUACAUUGGCGGUCUCGCUGCAGCCUCCAUUGCGUAGUAGCUAACACCUCGCAACUGGAACGCGGCGCGGCCAUGCCGUAAAACCCCAACUUCUGAAUGUUGACCUCGGAUCAGGUAGGAAUACCCGCUGAACUUAAGCAUAGCAAUAAGCGGAGGA